CCUACGGGGGGCUGCAGUGGGGAAUAUUGGACAAUGGGGGCAACCCUGAUCCAGCCAUGCCGCGUGUGUGAAGAAGGCCCUCGGGUUGUAAAGCACUUUCAGUGAGGAAGAACGCCUGGUGGUUAAUACCCAUCAGGAAGGACAUCACUCACAGAAGAAGCACCGGCUAACUCCGUGCCAGCAGCCGCGGUAAUACGGAGGGUGCGAGCGUUAAUCGGAAUUACUGGGCGUAAAGCGCGCGUAGGUGGCUUGAUAAGCCGGUUGUGAAAGCCCCGGGCUCAACCUGGGAACGGCAUCCGGAACUGUCAAGCUAGAGUGCAGGAGAGGAAGGUAGAAUUCCCGGUGUAGCGGUGAAAUGCGUAGAGAUCGGGAGGAAUACCAGUGGCGAAGGCGGCCUUCUGGACUGACACUGACACUGAGGUGCGAAAGCGUGGGUAGCAAACAGGAUUAGAUACCCCUGUAGUC
Molecule: ribosomal RNA, 465 nt
Filed under: Vreelandella stevensii
Lineage: Bacteria; Pseudomonadati; Pseudomonadota; Gammaproteobacteria; Oceanospirillales; Halomonadaceae
Description: partial 16S ribosomal RNA
Rfam family: Bacterial small subunit ribosomal RNA
Source: RNAcentral